GAAAUGCGAUAAGUAAUGUGAAUUGCAGAAUUCAGUGAAUCACCGAAUCUUUGAACGCACCUUGCGCUCCUUGGUAUUCCUUGGAGCAUGCCUGUUUGAGUAUCAUGAAAUCUUCAAAGUAAAUCUUUUGUUAACUCAAUUGGUUUCUACUUUGGUAUUGGAGGUCUUUGCAGCUUCACACCUGCUCCUCUUUGUUCAUUAGCUGGAUCUCAGUGUUAUGCUUGGUUCCACUCGGCGUGAUAAGUUAUCUAUCGCUGAGGACACUGUAAAAGGUGGCCAAGGUAAAUGCAGAUGAACCGCUUCUAAUAGUCCAUUGACUUGGACAAUACUUUUAUGAUCUGAUCUAAAAUCAGGUAGGACUACCCGCUGAACUUAAGC
This 378-nucleotide unclassified non-coding RNA is filed under the name plant metagenome. RNAcentral describes it as "partial contains 5.8S ribosomal RNA, internal transcribed spacer 2, and large subunit ribosomal RNA". The stretch from base 1 to 105 matches the Rfam family "5.8S ribosomal RNA", at positions 50 to 154 of the family's 154-position model. The record is from RNAcentral.